Molecule: ribosomal RNA, 450 nt
Filed under: uncultured bacterium
Lineage: Bacteria
Description: bacterial SSU rRNA
Rfam family: Bacterial small subunit ribosomal RNA
Source: RNAcentral
GACCAGACUCCUACGGGAGGCAGCAGUGGGGAAUAUUGCACAAUGGGGGAAACCCUGAUGCAGCAACGCCGCGUGAGUGAAGAAGUAUUUCGGUAUGUAAAGCUCUAUCAGCAGGGAAGAAGAAAGACGGUACCUGACUAAGAAGCCCCGACUAACUACGUGCCAGCAGCCGCGGUAAUACGUAGGGGGCAAGCGUUAUCCGGAUUCACUGGGUGUAAAGGGAGCGUAGACGGCGACGCAAGUCUGGAGUGAAAGCCCGGGGCCCAACCCCGGGACUGCUCUGGAAACUGCGUCGCUGGAGUACGGGAGGGGCAGGCGGAAUUCCUGGUGUAGCGGUGAAAUGCGUAGAUAUCAGGAGGAACACCGGCGGCGAAGGCGGCCUGCUGGACCGUGACUGACGUUGAGGCUCGAGAGCGUGGGGAGCAAACAGGAUUAGAUACCCCAGUAGAA